Molecule: long non-coding RNA, 5118 nt
Organism: Equus caballus (horse)
Lineage: Eukaryota; Metazoa; Chordata; Mammalia; Perissodactyla; Equidae
Source: Ensembl
GUUUCACAGAUGAGGUAUCUGAGAUCAAGAUGAAUAAGUUAUUCAAGGUCACACAGCUAAAAACUUGAAAAGCUGGAAUCAGGUCAGGUUUGCAGGCUCCAUGCUCCACCCCCUCCGCUUCGCAACUGUAAACCACCUCAUCUAAUGUCAGAGCUCCAGGGGCCCGGGAGCUGCAUCUCCGGGAGAUGGCGAUUUGGGGAAGCCACCAACAGCACGAGAGUCUGCGGGCUUAGAGUCCAGAGCUGCCAGAUGGGAGACAUUGUGUCCUUGUGGCACGGAGACAGCUAUCCUAAGCAUCUCAGCCCACACCAAGUUUGGCUUCACGUUGCACUAGCAAGAUUCUGUUGUCAAUUUCAAAGUCGUGUAUUGCUAUCUGAGAUGCACUGAUUAGAUUCAAAUGGGAAGACUUGGAAGAAAUAGGAAGAUUUCUGCUUAAGAGAGAGGAGAGAGGGAGUUGGCUGGUGGCUGGUACAUUCCUUCCCGUUAUCCCACACUUUUGUGGUGGGAAAAAGCUUGCGUUGCUGCGAGGUGAGAUGGAGGAAAAGCAGUUGGUUUGGCAGACAGACCAUGAGGGAUUCUCCACAACGGGGCCCAGUGGGAAAGGCCUGUUCCUCUCAUUACCCGUCACAUUCCACAGGGAAAUCAGCUGGAAAACGUGACAUCAUGUCCAGUCUCUGAGUCCUGAAUGAGUCUGUGGUUCCUGACCCAGGAGAAGAGCAUGUGCUGUUAAAUAGCAAAGUGCGGGUGUCAUAAUGCAGGGCUCUGGGACAUCCAGGGCCCUCUUCACACCGCUUCUCCUCGGAGCCCCUGGGAGCAAGUGACAAGUGUGUAUGCGAAAACAUGCCAGAGUCUCCAGUGGACCCUGGACCUCAGGAGUCUGCAAUAUGGGAUUCACGGUGGAGCACGAUCUGUGAUAGUGGUGGAGACUGAGCACAGGGAGGGUGCACUGGAACGUUCCCUGGAGGUUAGGGGUGUGUUCAGCCUUAGACGUCAGCAUCUGGCCCACGCUCAUUCCCAGGAGCAGAGGGAGCCGUGGAAGGUCUGGAGCUAUGGAGUGAAGGAUGCGGCUGUGCAGCCGGGUGCAGAGGGAGCCGUGGAAGGUCUGGAGCUGUGGAGUGAAGGAUGCGGCUGUGCAGCCGGGUGCAGAUGGGGCCAUGGAAGGUCUGGAGCUGUGGAGUGAAGGAUGCGGCUGUGCAGCCGGGUGCAGAUGGGGCCAUGGAAGGUCUGGAGCUGUGGAAUGAAGGAUGCGGCUGUGCAGCCGGGUGCAGAUGGGUUUGGGCUGGUGGGAGUGGAGGCUCAUUCGAGCUGAGAGGACAUUGAAAGAGGCUAUGGCCAAACUGCCCAUCCUCCAUUCGGUGAUGGAGACGUGGACUGUGUAAUGGGGACUGAGGGAAGGGCAGAAGCAGGUGCGCUGACACAGAAGUGACAACCCUGCAGGGCCCUCAACGCUCCCCAUUGCCUUCAGUGACCAGGCUCGAGCUCCGCCCUGCUGCACGUCUGCUCCCUGCCUCUCCCUCCAGCCUCACCUCUUUCCACCUCCACCCAUCUGUGUGCCUGACGCUGAGCGUCUUGACGACUUGCCUUCUCUGAUGCACCUCACACUCUGUGGACUGAGGUCCUCCACACAUAAGGCAGCCUUGGCCUGAACUCUCCCCUAUGCCCCUGACGCCCCCGUCCCAUCCUCCCACCCUCAGCUUAGGGCCCCAUCUCCCGUGGGCCUUUCCUGAACCUCCACCCAUGACCGACGAGGGUGUCCCUUCCACGCGCUCGGCCCGUGGGCUGGGAUUACGUUUGCGCGUCGGCUUCGUCAGGCCGCACACUCCUGAAGGCGAGUCCCUCGUGUUGGCAGGAGCUCAGCAGAGGAGUCUGAAUGUCUGGAGGGACAGAUUGGAUGUGGAGAAGAAGGACAGGGGUUAACGCAGAUCAACGUUUAGGUCUGCUGACCGGGAGAAGUCGUCCAGAUCAUCAGUGUCAAAACUUCCGCUCUGCAAGGGCCCCAUGAAGAGGAUGAAAUGACAAGCCACAGACUGAGGGAAAACAUCUGAAAAUCACCUUCCUAACAAAGGACUUGUAUCCAAAACAUAAAGAAUGCUCUACAUUCAACUGCAAGAAAACAAGCAACCCAAUCAGAAAAUGAGCAGAAGAUUGGAACAGACACUUCACCAACAUCAUUAGCCAUGAGGGAAAUGCAGGUUAAAAACACAGUGAGAUAUCACUUCACAACUAUCAGAAUGGCUAAAACGAAAAAUAGCAGCAACACCACAUGCUGGUGAGGAUGUGGAGAGACUGGAACUCUCAUUGGCUACGGGUGGGAGUGGGAGAUGGCACGGCCAACAUGGAGAAUAACUGGGCAGUUUCUUAUAAAGUUGGACGUAUGCUUAGCCAUGAAACUCAGCACCAUGCUCCUUGGGAUUUACUCUAGAAAAAGGAAAACUUAUGUUCAUACAAAAGUUCAUAGCAGCCUUAUUUGUAAUAGCCACAACCUGGAAACAACCUAGAUAUCCUCCAACCCCCAAAUGGACAAGCACACUGUGGCCUACCCUGUCACAGUGGAUCUAUCAAUAGAGGUGGAUGCUCACAGCAAUAAAAUGAGGGGAACCAUCAACAACACCCUUGGCAAAUCUUAAGAGCGCUGGGAUGAGGGAGAAAGCCAACCUCAAAAUGCACAAACCCAAGAUCCCACUUGUAUAACAUUCCUGAAGUGACAAAAUUGGAGGAUAGAACUGGCCAGUGGUGGCCAGGGAUUAGAGUGGGGGGUGACCAUUCAGGGGUGGCAUAAGAGAGUGAACUGAAGUUAAUUCUUUGUGACUUUACCAGAGGCAGAUACAGAAAACCCAAGCCCAGGUGGCUUACGGGAGAAAUGAUUUGAUCUGUUGGCUUGUGGAACUCGGAGCCCAGGGAAAGAGCUGGCCAAAGCAUGGACCUUGGCCCCUCCACCUUCCUGUGGGCCCUCAGCAUCUGCUCUGCUCUCAGAUGGGCCCCACUGUGCAGCCAAUGGGAGCUCCAAGGCCUGGGAGGGACAACCUCAGUCCCGGAGGCUUCCUGAUGCCUGGGGGCCCCUGGGACCCUGUUCAGACCACUCAUACCAGAUGAGCCUGCAAAAGAAAACCAAGGUAGUUUCUGGAAAGAGGGACAAUUGACAGAGAUGGACAAAGAGCAAGUAUCAGCCACUCAUGUCACACCCAUUGACUGCCAGCAUGGGGAGCAGAUAUUCAGUGUUUAGAAUAAUGCCCCAGACUAGGUAAAUUCAGGAACAGCAGGGUUGUUAUGCAAAAUCAAUCGCUAUCCAUUUAGUAAAGAACCCACAAAGAUAACCCUAGUGGACUUUGGGAUGUUUUGGAAAGUGAGCAUCUUGUUCAAUGGCCUUGAGUAGUUCUGAAGCUGAAGGGGUCUGAAGCUACAGCCUCAGUACCCAAGACCACCCACACAUAUUAGGACAGCAACAGCUGCUGGCAAAUCACAGCACAACACAAAAGCUGAACUCUAACUCAUCCAACACUCCUGUCUCCUGAGCAAACCCUCCUCUCUGACUCACCCAACCCUCCUCUAACUCAACAAACCCUGCUCUAACUCAACAAACCCUCCUCUCUAACUCAACAAACCCUCCUCUAACUCACCAAACCCUCCUCUAACUCACCAAACCCUCCUCUAACUCACCAAACCCUCCUCUAACUCAACAAACCCUCCUCUCUAACUCAACAAACCCUCCUCUCUAACUCAACAAACCCUCCUCUAACUCAACAAACCCUCCUCUAACUCAACAAACCCUCCUCUAACUCAACAAACCCUCCUCUAACUCAACAAACCCUCCUCUCUAACUCAACAAACCCUCCUCUAACUCAACAAACCUUCCUCUAACUCAACAAACCCUCCUGUAACUCAACAAACCCUCCUGUAACUCAACAAACCCUCCUCUCUAACUCAACAAACCCUCCUCUAACUCAACAAACCCUGCUCUCUAACUCAACACUACUACUGAGUCCUGGCCAUUGAGAGAUUUUCUCAGAGAAACAUUCAAACAGAAGUGAUGGAGGUUUGUAGAUUUACUUGCCUGGAGAAGUUAUAUUCCAGUUGCCACAUAUUUCAGUUACUAGAAGCUGGGCUAAGUCAGCAGAGAAGCCAAGGAAGGAAGCCACAGAGAAAGGAAUCUCCCCAGAGUAAUUCCCCAGACAAUUUAGAGCUUUCAGUGGAAUUGGAUUUUGGAUGACAGCAGCCAGCUAAGAGGAAAGAAUUCUUGAGAUUCUUAGCAGGGUCUGAGUCUGGGUAUUUUGUUGAAGCCCAGUCAUGAUUCCCACUCCUGGACUAUCUGUCCUGAAGGAUGUGGGGGUUUUGAAGGUAGAAUUUACGUCUAAUGAAUUGUACAAUUUUGGUAAAUCGACAGUCCUCUGUAGCCCUCACCCGAUAACAUGUAAGAUGUCUCCACCCAGCCAGAAUUUCAUGUCACUCCCUUCUCUGCUGACUUCCCCAUGCCACCACAGGCAGCGUGUGUUCUGAGGGGUCCGUCAGAUGAGUUUGGCCUGGUUUUGAGUCCCUUGGAGAUGGAUGCGUGCAAUCCGCUCUCUUGGUGUCCAGCCUCUUCCCCUCAGUGGACCGUCUGUGAGAUUCACCCAGUCGUCUGCUGGAUAUUUUAGUCCUCAGGAGGAGUAGGGCCCCAUCAGGACCCUUUUCCUCCUGCAGCUGCUUCGCCAAGUGAGGAGGGGGCUCGAGUCAGGGGUGAGGGGCCCGAUUCCCUGACCACUGUCUAGACAGAGACUGUCCUCUCCUUGCCGCCAGCGACAGUGUCUGCAGCCCGGGCAGUGCUGCACCAAAGGCCCCACCGGCCGUUUAGAGUCAAUGACAGGAUGAGCUGGAGGGGAACGAAUGAAACGCAGACCCUGAGGUUUGAAGCUCCUCCAGGGCGCAUUUGCGAGGUCCACCACAGCUGGGGUGACCAGGCGAUCAGACUUGGUGAGAUUCACCCUAAGAGGAAGGCUGGCCCCUCCAGUGGAGGCCGGUAGGUGGAAUUAAACAGCAGAAUGCUCAGAAUUCUCUUGAGCAGUGAGAACUAGCUUCUUGUUGCUGGUGCUUCUCUUUCCUUCCAGCAAAGCUGAGUUUAGAUCCUCUGAACCAUCAACAAAC